RNAcentral lists this ribosomal RNA (460 nucleotides) under uncultured bacterium. RNAcentral's name for it is "partial 16S ribosomal RNA". It matches the Rfam family "Bacterial small subunit ribosomal RNA", at positions 338 to 795 of the family's 1533-position model. The record is from RNAcentral.
CCUACGGGAGGCAGCAGUGAGGAAUAUUGGUCAAUGGGCGUAAGCCUGAACCAGCCAAGUCGCGUGAAGGAUGACGGUUCUAUGGAUCGUAAACCUCUUUUAUAAGGGAAUAAAGUGCGGGACGUGUCCCUUUUUGUAUGUACCUUAUGAAUAAGGAUCGGCUAACUCCGUGCCAGCAGCCGCGGUAAUACGGAGGAUCCGAGCGUUAUCCGGAUUUAUUGGGUUUAAAGGGUGCGUAGACGGGUUUUUAAGUCAGGUGUGAAAGUCUGUGGCUCAACCAUAGAAUUGCCGUUGAAACUGGGAGUCUUGAGUAUAGUUGAGGAAGGCGGAAUGCGUGGUGUAGCGGUGAAAUGCUUAGAUAUCACGAAGAACCCCGAUUGCGAAGGCAGCUUACCAAGCCAUGACUGACGCUGAUGCACGAAAGCGUGGGGAUCAAACAGGAUUAGAUACCCUGGUAGUC